AUUGAACGCUGGCGGCAUGCUUUACACAUGCAAGUCGAACGGUAACAGGCCGCAAGGUGCUGACGAGUGGCGGACGGGUGCGUAAUGCAUCGGAACGUGCCCAGUCGUGGGGGAUAACUACUCGCAAGAGUAGCUAAUACCGAAUACGAUCUAUGGAUGAUAGCGGGGGACCGUAAGGCCUAGCGCGACUGGAGCGGCCGAUGUCAGAUUAGGUAGUUGGUGGGGGAAAGGCUCACCAAGCCAACGAUCUGUAGCUGGUCUGAGAGGACGACCCGCCACACUGGAACUGGGACACGGCCCAGACUCCUACGGGAGGCAGCAGAGGGGAAUUUUGGACAAUGGGCGCAAGCCUGAUCCAGCAAUGCCGCGUGCAGGAAGGAGGCCUUCGGGUUGUAAACUGCUUUUGUACGGAACGAAACGGCUCUGGUUAAUACCCGGGGCUAAUGACGGUACCGUAAGAAUAAGCACCGGCUAACUACGUG
Molecule: ribosomal RNA, 482 nt
Filed under: uncultured bacterium
Lineage: Bacteria
Description: partial 16S ribosomal RNA
Rfam family: Bacterial small subunit ribosomal RNA
Source: RNAcentral